Molecule: transfer RNA, 68 nt
Filed under: zebrafish metagenome
Rfam family: tRNA
About the family: Transfer RNA (tRNA) molecules are approximately 80 nucleotides in length. Their secondary structure includes four short double-helical elements and three loops (D, anti-codon, and T loops).
Source: RNAcentral
UAAGUAGCUCAACUGGCAGAGCAACGCAUUCGUAAUGCGGAGGUUGUAGGUUCAAUUCCUGUCUUAGG